AGUAAUACAAACUUGGUUCAGUGGCGCACGGGUGCGUAACACGUGAGCAAUCUGCCGGGAAGUGGGGGAUAGCUCGCCGAAAGGCGAAUUAAUACCGCAUGUGGCCAUUCUUCGAGUGGAGGAAAAGCCAAAGCAGCAAUGCGCUUCCUGAUGAGCUCGCGGCCUAUCAGCUCGAUGGCGGGGUAAUGGCCCACCAUAGCUUUGACGGGUAGCUGGUCUGAGAGGACGACCAGCCACACUGGAACUGAGACACGGUCCAGACACCUACGGGUGGCAGCAGUCGAGAAUUUUUCACAAUGGGGGCAACCCUGAUGGAGCGACGCCGCGUGGAGGAUGAAGGCCUUCGGGUUGUAAACUCCUGUCAUGCGGGAACAAGCAAGUGAUAGUACCGCAAGAGGAAGAGACGGCUAACUCUGUGCCAGCAGCCGCGGUAAUACAGAGGUCUCAAGCGUUGUUCGGAUUCAUUGGGCGUAAAGGGUGCGUAGGUGGUGAUGCAAGUCUGGUGUGAAAUCUCGGAGCUCAACUCCGAAAUUGCACCGGAUACUGCGUG
Molecule: ribosomal RNA, 550 nt
Filed under: uncultured soil bacterium
Lineage: Bacteria
Description: bacterial SSU rRNA
Rfam family: Bacterial small subunit ribosomal RNA
Source: RNAcentral